RNAcentral lists this ribosomal RNA (893 nucleotides) under uncultured bacterium. RNAcentral's name for it is "bacterial SSU rRNA". It matches the Rfam family "Bacterial small subunit ribosomal RNA", at positions 28 to 916 of the family's 1533-position model. The record is from RNAcentral.
AUAACGCGCUGGCGGUAUGCUUAACACAUGCAAGUCGAACGGUAACAGCAGAGCUUGCUCUGGCUGACGAGGGCGGACGGGUGAGUAACGCGUGGGAAUCUACCUUAGAGUGGGGGAUAGCCCGGAGAAAUCCGGAUUAAUACCGCAUAAUACUAUGGUUGAAAGGGGGCCUCUUCUUGAAAGCUCUCGCUCUAAGAUGAGCCCGCGUUAGAUUAGCUAGAUGGUGAGGUAAUGGCUCACCAUGGCGACGAUCUAUAGCUGGUCUGAGAGGACGAUCAGCCACACUGGGACUGAGACACGGCCCAGACUCCUACGGGAGGCAGCAGUGGGGAAUAUUGGACAAUGGGCGCAAGCCUGAUCCAGCAAUACCGCGUGUAUGAAGAAGGCCUGAGGGUUGUAAAGUACUUUCAAUUGUGACGAAAGAUUGAUGGUUAAUAACCAUCGAUUCUGACAUUAACUUUAGAAGAAGCACCGGCUAACCCUGUGCCAGCAGCCGCGGUAAUACAGGGGGUGCGAGCGUUAAUCGGAAUUACUGGGCGUAAAGCGUACGUAGGCGGAUAUUUAAGUCAGAUGUGAAAGCCCCGGGCUCAACCUGGGAACUGCAUUUGAAACUGGGUAUCUAGAGUUUGGUAGAGGCAGGUAGAAUUCCUAGUGUAGCGGCGAAAUGCGUAGAUAUUAGGAGGAAUACCAGUGGCGAAGGCGGCCUGCUGGACCAAAACUGACGCUGAGGUACGAAAGCGUGGGGAGCAAACGGGAUUAGAUACCCCGGUAGUCCACGCCGUAAACGAUGUCAACUAGUCGUUGGGACCCUUGAGGUCUUAGUGACGCAGCUAACGCGUGAAGUUGACCGCCUGGGGAGUACGCCGCAAGGCUAAAACUCAAAUGAAUGACGG